AUAUCAAUAAGCGGAGGAAAAGAAACCAACAGGGAUUGCCUUAGUAACGGCGAGUGAAGCGGCAACAGCUCAAAUUUGAAAUCUGGCCCUCGGGUCCGAAUUGUAAUUUGUAGAGGAUGAUUUUGGUGCGGUAUCUUCCGAGUUCCUUGGAACAGGACGCCUUAGAGGGUGAGAGCCCCGUACGGUUGAAUGCCUAGCCUCUGUAAAUCUCCUUCGACGAGUCGAGUAGUUUGGGAAUGCUGCUCUAAAUGGGAGGUAAAUUUCUUCUAAAGCUAAAUAUUGGCCAGAGACCGAUAGCGCACAAGUAGAGUGAUCGAAAGAUGAAAAGCACUUUGAAAAGAGGGUUAAAUAGCACGUGAAAUUGUUGAAAGGGAAGGAUUUGUGACCAGACUUUUUCUGGGCGGAUCAUCCGGGGUUCUCUCCGGUGCACUUUGCCCAGUAAAGGCCAGCAUCGAUUUUCGGCGGCGGAUAAAAGCAGUGGGAAUGUGGCUCCCUACGGGGAGUGUUAUAGCCCAUUGUAUAAUACGCUGCUGGGGAUCGAGGUACGCGCUUCUGCAAGGAUGCUGGCGUAAUGGUUAUCAAUCACCCGUCUUGAAACACGGACCAAGGAGUCGAACAUUUAUGCGAGUGUUUGGGUGUUAAACCCUCACGCGUAAUGAAAGUGAACGGAGGUGAGAGCCCGUACGGGUGCAUCAUCGACCGAUCCUGAAGUUUUCGGAUGGAUUUGAGUAAGAGCAUAACUGUUCGGACCCGAAAGAUGGUGAACUAUGCGUGGAUAGGGUGAAGCCAGAGGAAACUCUGGUGGAGGCUCGCAGCGGUUCUGACGUGCAAAUCGAUCGUCAAAUCUGCGCAUGGGGGCGAAAGACUAAUCGAACCAUCUAGUAGCUGGUUACCGCCGA
This 899-nucleotide ribosomal RNA is filed under the name Pestalotiopsis chamaeropis. Its description in RNAcentral is "LSU rRNA". It matches the Rfam family "Eukaryotic large subunit ribosomal RNA", at positions 40 to 964 of the family's 3401-position model. Lineage: Eukaryota; Fungi; Ascomycota; Sordariomycetes; Amphisphaeriales; Sporocadaceae. The record is from RNAcentral.